GCCGGGUGUGGUGGCUCACGCCUAUAAUCCCAGCAGCUCAGAAGGCUGAGGCAGGAGAAUUGCUCGUUCAAAGGCAGUCUCAGCAACUUAGUGAGGCCCUAAGCAACUCAGCAAGACUCUGUCUCUG
This 127-nucleotide small RNA is filed under the name Marmota monax (woodchuck). The record is from RNAcentral. Lineage: Eukaryota; Metazoa; Chordata; Mammalia; Rodentia; Sciuridae.